GGGGAAGGAUGGAGAAAGAGUAGCUAUUGUUCCCUCAGCCUCCUAUCCAACACAUGAGACUGAAAAUGAAAAGACCCGGAGAUCUUACAAGCAUGUAUUUCCAUGUUGCGAAAGCAAGGACGAUGUUCAUUUUCAAGGGAAUCAUGAGAACUCUAUAGAUCAGUGAGUGGAGACUAGAGAUCUCUCACAGACAAUUCCCAGCGGAUGAUGAUGAUGAAAGUUAAAGAUUCCAUGGGUGUUCCCUUCAGAUGAUGGUCUGCAAGGCAGCUUACACAACCAGUAAUUGAAGCAACCUCAAGAACUGGACCUCCUUCUCAAGGACAGUUUCUUGCCUAGUCUCUUUUCCUAUCUCCAACGGCUCUUCCAUAAACUGCCAAAAAAUUAUAGGUGUAGGCAAUGAGGCUUAACCUUUACUGGACAACCCUCAGCGACCACCUCUUCUUCUCUAGAAUGGCUCCCUGUCAUGACCCAAGUUCCUUAAUGUGUGCAGUGGAGGACUCUGAUAAGAAUGAGGUUUAGGCAGCUUCACUGAGGGGAGAACCACCCUGUAUUUUGAACCCUCCUGCAGAAGACACAGCCCUGCCAUUGUCCUCUGACUCAGAGGAUGUGUCCGCACCACCACAGAACCUCUGUCUCCCCAGCCUUUCAACAGCUACAGAAUAAGGGGAAAGCCCUUUAACCAGCCAGCCAGCCAGCCAGCUCCUCCAGGGAGGUGGAACGCUUCAGGCCUGGUCAGUCUAUAUAAGGCAUUGGCUCUUGCUCCCUGCGGAGACAGUGUCUCUUGCAGUUGCCUUAGCGUGGCUCUCUGGAGCUGUCCAAGAUCCUGCCAUUAUGGCUUGUUUUCUCAGGGACCCUGAUGAUCCCAUGGAAUUGGGCAAUGGCAACUGGCCUUUAAAGGAGGAUCAGGGCUCUUCCAGACUUCCACCUGCACCACCACUUUCCCCCAGGACAACCCAUGGUUCAGCACUGAAUUAGAACAAAUGGCAAUUGGGGUUUCCACAGAUGGCCACUUGUUCCCAUUUAGCACUAAAGAGAGGGCUUUCCUGGGGAAAGAGGUGGAGCAAAGAGGAAACUGUUCAGGCCCAUGUCUAGAAAGCAGGACCUGGGUGCAACAAUACCCUCCCCUGCUUGUAUUCCCAUCAAUUGGUAUUCAGAGGCACAUUUCCUUUUAUAAAAGGCUGGACAAGUUAGAAAUAAUCUGGCCUUAAUAUAUUCCUCAAACAGCUAUAACCAAGACCCGCGUUUCUCCUUGUUCAAUAUCUACAUUUAUUUUAUUUUUUAAAUGUCAAUUGACUUA
Molecule: long non-coding RNA, 1297 nt
Organism: Podarcis raffonei (Aeolian wall lizard)
Lineage: Eukaryota; Metazoa; Chordata; Lepidosauria; Squamata; Lacertidae
Exons: 3
Source: RefSeq, a predicted model, not a curated record